RNAcentral lists this long non-coding RNA (878 nucleotides) under Monodelphis domestica (gray short-tailed opossum). RNAcentral describes it as "lncRNA (ENSMODG00000041223.1)". The record is from RNAcentral. Lineage: Eukaryota; Metazoa; Chordata; Mammalia; Didelphimorphia; Didelphidae.
CCACCUGCUCUCUGGCUGCCGCCCCGCGGCCACACAGAGAUGAUGUUCCUUUCACCUGGCCGAAGCCGGGGUUAGGGUCGGGGUCUGGAUGACCAGCACCACUCACAAACGCAGGCAGCCCCUCUGGGUCCGUGGCUGCCGGGGUCUUAGCUGGUAUUUGGACUAGACCCAGAGCGAAGAGGUGACUGUCGCUUUAACAAACCCUCUGGAAUCUCAGCUGGGACCUGGAAGGUGCUGAAAGAGCCAACCCACGCGCCUGCGUAUAGGCUGGUUGAGAGGCCCACCUCUCCCUCAUUGGCGCUAGGCCUCAACUGAGUCAUUGCUUUGUCACCGCCUUUCCCAGCGUGAAGAGGAGCAGGCAGAGCGUGAUCAGAAAGGCCAGGCCAAUGAGAAAUCGAGGAGGGCAUCGGGGGCGCACGUGCUCAGAACUCUGAUUGGAGGAUGGAAGGCACCGGCCCGGGAAAGGACCAAUGAAAAGAAGUACAAUAAAGACACUUUCAUUGAACUCCUCAUUUAUGCCUAUUAUGCAAGGAUGAUGUUCAGCAAACUUUAUGACAGAGGGAAACAGCUGGUAAAGUGGGUUCAUGGAAAGGUGAAGAACUAGCCACAAGGAAUACAAGGGCUAAGCUGAAACCUGCUGCUCCACAUGUUGGAAAGGAAGAAGAAAAGUCAAACACUUAGAGAAAGCCUCCUCAAAUCAACAAAAAGGAGAGAAAAUAGAGAGAGGGGAAGAAACAGAAGAGCCUCUGUUUCAUAGUCUUCCAGGAAUAAGGAUAAAAAAAAAACAAACCUGACAUAGAACAUGCCUCCUGUCCUAUAAAAAUGAAAUGAAAGAAUGAGUUUAAGCCUUAUAUCUUCAAGGCCCAUUUGUUAGAUCC